This 407-nucleotide ribosomal RNA is filed under the name uncultured bacterium. RNAcentral describes it as "bacterial SSU rRNA". It matches the Rfam family "Bacterial small subunit ribosomal RNA", at positions 28 to 420 of the family's 1533-position model. The record is from RNAcentral.
GACGAACGCUGGCGGCGUGCUUAACACAUGCAAGUCGUGCGGUAAGGCCCUGCUUUGGUGGGGUACACGAGCGGCGAACGGGUGAGUAACACGUGGGUGACCUGCCUUCAGCUUUGGGAUAAGCCUGGGAAACUGGGUCUAAUACCGGAUAUGACCUUGGGGUGCAUGCCUUGGGGUGGAAAGCCUGUGCUGUUUGGCAUGGGUGGCUGGGGAUGGGCCCGCGGUCUAUCAGCUGUUGGUGGGGUGAUGGCCUACCAAGGCGACGACGGGUAGCCGGCCUGAGAGGGCGUUCGGCCACACUGGGACUGAGACACGGCCCAGACUCCUACGGGAGGCAGCAGUGGGGAAUAUUGCGCAAUGGGCGGAAGCCUGACGCAGCGACGCCGCGUGGGGGAUGACGGCCUGGU